RNAcentral lists this ribosomal RNA (569 nucleotides) under Fermentozyma sake. RNAcentral describes it as "eukaryotic LSU rRNA". It matches the Rfam family "Eukaryotic large subunit ribosomal RNA", at positions 76 to 664 of the family's 3401-position model. The record is from RNAcentral. Lineage: Eukaryota; Fungi; Ascomycota; Pichiomycetes; Serinales; Debaryomycetaceae.
UGCCUCAGUACGGCGAGUGAAGCGGCAAAAGCUCAAAUUUGAAAUCUGCGUAAGCCGAGUUGUAAUUUGAAGAUGGCUACUUUGGUAAUGGCUCUUGUCUAUGUUCCUUGGAACAGGACGUCACAGAGGGUGAGAAUCCCGUGCGAUGAGAUGUCCAUUACCGUGUAAAGUGCUUUCGAAGAGUCGAGUUGUUUGGGAAUGCAGCUCUAAGUGGGUGGUAAAUUCCAUCUAAAGCUAAAUAUUGGCGAGAGACCGAUAGCGAACAAGUACAGUGAUGGAAAGAUGAAAAGAACUUUGAAAAGAGAGUGAAAAAGUACGUGAAAUUGUUGAAAGGGAAGGGCUUGAGAUCAGACUUGGUAUUUUGUAUGGCUUGCUUUCGGGCGGGUCCUCUGCAGUUUACUGGGCCAGCAUCGGUUUGGGUGGCAGGAUAAUAGCAUAGGAAUGUGGCUCUACUUCGGUGGAGUGUUAUAGCCUUUGUUGAUACUGCCUGCCUAGACCGAGGACUGCGUCUUUUGACUAGGAUGCUGGCAUAAUGAUCCUAAGCCGCCCGUCUUGAAACACGGGACCAC